CUACGGGGGGCACCAGUGAGGAAUAUUGGUCAAUGGACGCAAGUCUGAACCAGCCAUGCCGCGUGCAGGAUGACGGCCCUAUGGGUUGUAAACUGCUUUUAUUAAGGAAUAAACCCCAUUACGUGUAAUGGGCUGAACGUACUUAAAGAAUAAGCAUCGGCUAACUCCGUGCCAGCAGCCGCGGUAAUACGGAGGAUGCAAGCGUUAUCCGGAUUCAUUGGGUUUAAAGGGUUCGCAGGCGGCGUAUUAAGUCAGUGGUGAAAUCCCCCGGCUCAACCGGGGAACUGCCAUUGAUACUGGUAUGCUAGAGUAUAGUUGGCGUAGGCGGAAUAUUUCAUGUAGCGGUGAAAUGCUUAGAUAUGAAAUAGAACACCGAUCGCGAAGGCAGCUUACGAAACUAUAACUGACGCUCAGGAACGAAAGCGUGGGGAGCGAACAGGAUUAGAUACCCGCGUAGUC
This 459-nucleotide ribosomal RNA is filed under the name uncultured bacterium. RNAcentral describes it as "partial 16S ribosomal RNA". It matches the Rfam family "Bacterial small subunit ribosomal RNA", at positions 339 to 795 of the family's 1533-position model. The record is from RNAcentral.